Molecule: ribosomal RNA, 1531 nt
Filed under: uncultured bacterium
Lineage: Bacteria
Description: bacterial SSU rRNA
Rfam family: Bacterial small subunit ribosomal RNA
Source: RNAcentral
AGAGUUUGAUCCUGGCUCAGAUUGAACGCUGGCGGCAUGCCUUACACAUGCAAGUCGAACGGCAGCACGGACUUCGGUCUGGUGGCGAGUGGCGAACGGGUGAGUAAUGUAUCGGAACGUACCUUUCAGUGGGGGAUAACGUAGCGAAAGUUACGCUAAUACCGCAUAUUCUGUGAGCAGGAAAGCAGGGGAUCGCAAGACCUUGCGCUGAUUGAGCGGCCGAUAUCAGAUUAGCUAGUUGGUGGGGUAAAGGCCUACCAAGGCUACGAUCUGUAGCGGGUCUGAAGGAUGAUCCGCCACACUGGAACUGACACACGGCCAGACUCCUACGGAGGCCAGGGGAAUUUUGGACAAUGGGGGCAAGCCUGAUCCAGCCAUGCCGCGUGUCUGAAGAAGGCCUUCGGGUUGUAAAGGACUUUUGUUAGGGAGCAAGUCCUGCAGGUUAAGAGCCAGUAGGGAUGAGAGUACCUAAAGAAUAAGCACCGGCUAACUACGUGCCAGCAGCCGCGGUAAUACGUAGGGUGCAAGCGACAGGACCCUGAUCCAGCGGGAAAAGCCACUAGUAGGUGCAGCGUUAUCGGAUUACUGGGCGUAAAGGGUGCGCAGGCGGUAUUGUAAGCCAGAUGUGAAAUCCCCGGGCUCAACCUGGGAACUGCGUUUGGAACUGCAAUGCUAGAGUGUGUCAGAGGGGGGUGGAAUUCCACGUGUAGCAGUGAAAUGCGUAAGAUGUGGAGGAACACCGAUGGCGAGCACCCCCUGGAUAACACUGACCUCAGCCAAAGCGUGGGACAAACAGGAUUAAUACCCUGGCCAACAUAUAGUCCACGCCCUAAACGAUGACAACUAGCCGUUGGGAACUUCGGUUCUUGGUGGCGUAGCUAACGCGAGAAGUUGUCCGCCUGGGGAGUACGGCCGCAAGGUUAAAACUCAAAGGAAUUGACGGGGGCCCGCACAAGCGGUGGAUGAUGUGGAUUAAUUCGAUGCAACGCGAAAAACCUUACCUGGUCUUGACAUGCUAGGAAUCUCUGAGAGAUCGGAGAGUGCCCGAAAGGGAACCUAGACACAGGUGCUGCAUGGCUGUCGUCAGCUCGUGUCGUGAGAUGUUGGGUUAAGUCCCGCAACGAGCGCAACCCUUGCCAUUAGUUGCCAUCAUUAAGUUGGGCACUUUAAUGGGACUGCCGGUGACAAACCGGAGGAAGGUGGGGAUGACGUCAAGUCCUCAUGGCCCUUAUGACCAGGGCUUCACACGUCAUACAAUGGUCGGUACAGAGGGUUGCCAAGCCGCGAGGUGGAGCUAAUCUCAUAAAACCGAUCGUAGUCCGGAUCGCAGUCUGCAACUCGACUGCGAGAAGUCGGAAUCGCUAGUAGUCGCGGAUCAGCAUGUCGCGGUGAAUACGUUCCCGGGCCUUGUACACACCGCCCGCCACACCAUGGGAGUGGGGGAUACCAGAAGUAGGUAGGAUAACCGCAAGGAGUCCGCUUACCACGGUAUGUUUCAUGACUGGGGUGAAGUCGUAACAAGGUAACCGUA